CUACGGGUCGCUGCAGUGGGGAAUAUUGGACAAUGGGGGAAACCCUGAUCCAGCAGUGCCGCGUGUGUGAAGAAGGCCUGCGGGUUGUAAAGCACUUUCGGUUGGGAGGACUGCUUCUAGCACUAAUAUUGUUGGAAGUUGACGUUACCUUCAGAAGAAGCACCGGCUAACUCCGUGCCAGCAGCCGCGGUAAUACGGAGGGUGAAAGCGUUAAUCGGAAUUACUGGGCGUAAAGCGCGCGUAGGCGGCUAGAUCAGUCGGGUGUGAAAGCCCCGGGCUGAACCUGGGAACUGCAUCCGAUACUGUCUAGCUUGAGUACAGGAGAGGAGAGUGGAAUUCCACAUGUAGCGGUGAAAUGCGUAGAUAUGUGGAGGAACACCAAUGGCGAAGGCAGCUCUCUGGCCUGAUACUGACGCUGAGGUGCGAAAGCGUGGGGAGCAAACAGGAUUAGAUACCCUUGUAGUC
RNAcentral lists this ribosomal RNA (465 nucleotides) under uncultured bacterium. Its description in RNAcentral is "partial 16S ribosomal RNA". It matches the Rfam family "Bacterial small subunit ribosomal RNA", at positions 339 to 795 of the family's 1533-position model. The record is from RNAcentral.